UCUGCCUAGAUGANUUCCCCAUUAAGGACC
RNAcentral lists this non-coding RNA (30 nucleotides) under Homo sapiens (human). Lineage: Eukaryota; Metazoa; Chordata; Mammalia; Primates; Hominidae. The record is from RNAcentral.